AACUAACGCUGGCGGCGUGCCUAACACAUGCAAGUCGUACGAGAAAGCCGGCUUCGGCUGGUGAGUAAAGUGGCGCACGGGUGAGUAACGCGUGGAUAAUCUGCCCUUAAGUGUGGAAUAACGUACCGAAAGGUGCGCUAAUACCGCAUAAUGCCUGGCAACACAAGUUGUCCGGCCAAAGAAGGCCUCUGUUUACAAGCUUUCGCUUCAGGAUGAGUCCGCGUACCAUUAGCUUGUUGGUGGGGUAAUGGCCUACCAAGGCUGCGAUGGUUAGCUGGUCUGAGAGGAUGAUCAGCCACACUGGAACUGAGACACGGUCCAGACUCCUACGGGAGGCAGCAGUGAGGAAUAUUGCGCAAUGGGGGCAACCCUGACGCAGCAACGCCGCGUGAGUGAGGAAGGUUUUCGGAUCGUAAACCUCUGUUGUACGGGAAGAAGGAUGUGACGGUACCGUACGAGGAACGCCCCGGCAAACUACGUGCCAGCAGCCGCGGUAAA
This 498-nucleotide ribosomal RNA is filed under the name uncultured bacterium. RNAcentral describes it as "bacterial SSU rRNA". It matches the Rfam family "Bacterial small subunit ribosomal RNA", at positions 29 to 524 of the family's 1533-position model. The record is from RNAcentral.